RNAcentral lists this ribosomal RNA (227 nucleotides) under uncultured bacterium. RNAcentral's name for it is "partial 16S ribosomal RNA". It matches the Rfam family "Bacterial small subunit ribosomal RNA", at positions 568 to 796 of the family's 1533-position model. The record is from RNAcentral.
UCCGUAGGUGGAUAAUUAAGUCAGAGGUGAAAUCCUGCAGCUCAACUGUAGAAUUGCCUUUGAUACUGGUUAUCUUGAGUCAUUAUGAAGUGGUUAGAAUGUGUAGUGUAGCGGUGAAAUGCAUAGAUAUUACACAGAAUACCGAUUGCGAAGGCAGAUCACUAAUAAUGUACUGACACUGAGGGACGAAAGCGUGGGGAGCGAACAGGAUUAGAUCCUGGUAGUCC